This 440-nucleotide long non-coding RNA is filed under the name Pongo abelii (Sumatran orangutan). Its description in RNAcentral is "lincRNA". The record is from RNAcentral. Lineage: Eukaryota; Metazoa; Chordata; Mammalia; Primates; Hominidae.
AGAUAGAGGGCCCUUAGGAAGGCGAUGCUGGAUCCUAUGGGUCUCAACAGAGGGCCUUACGUAGGGGGCCGCUGUAGCAACCACCCACAAAUGGGGGGCUCAACACAACUGAAAUGCGCUUCCUCACAGUCCUGGAGGCCCGAACUCCAAAACCAAGGCGCCAGCAGGGCCACGCUUCCUCCACGGAGCCUCGGGGAGCAGAUGGUCUUGAGAGGAGACUUGCUCCCACAACCCUUUCCCAGCUGCAGCUGCCUCUCCUCCAUCUCUGCCUCGGUGGCCACGCGGCUGAACCACCGCAUCCCGGGCAGGGAAGAAAAAAAUGCCGGCAACUAAACCGUGAGGUGCCUUCAAGAGUGAAAUGGAACCUAAGAGGAAGACGGAACCUAACAGAGAUGUCAGGAGGAGAAGAAACACACAUCUUAGAAUUGAUAAGCACGAUA